CCUUAAAAACAAAACAAAAAACUACCAAACCAAGGUUUAAACUUAAAUAGUUCUACACCUAUUCUGCAAAUACUACUAAUAUGGAAAUAAUGCUUGACCGAAAUUCCCUUGUCUUUUUUUUUUUUUUCUUAGAUGAUAAAAGUAGUAACAUGCCUUGCUGAGGAAAGCAAUGGAUAUAAAUGCCUGUAAAAUAUGCUGCUCUAACAUCUGAAAGUGAUUAAAACGAUUCUAUAUAAUGCCUUCGUCAAGAUGGAGAACAGUGGAGGAAGAAAGAGGGGCCCAUGGGGCCAGGCUUGGGGGGGGGGGGGGCUGAGGGCACGAGUCACGGGUCCCGUGCUGUUUUUUCCAGCAACAUACACUGCCUGGGUGGGGAACAGGGGCGGAGGGAGGGCUUUUCCUCCUCAAUCCAGGAUCUGGCAGCUAAAUCAGUGGCUGUGAGCCUGAUUUGUCCACAAUCAAAGGCACGUGUGGAAAUCUACUCCCAGCAAAGAGUGAGUCCUCAGGGAAGCCAGUGUGGCCUCUGAAAU
Molecule: long non-coding RNA, 527 nt
Filed under: Bos taurus (domestic cattle)
Lineage: Eukaryota; Metazoa; Chordata; Mammalia; Artiodactyla; Bovidae
Description: long non-coding RNA NONBTAT016155
Source: RNAcentral